This 200-nucleotide unclassified non-coding RNA is filed under the name Helotiales sp. Its description in RNAcentral is "partial internal transcribed spacer 2". The record is from RNAcentral. Lineage: Eukaryota; Fungi; Ascomycota; Leotiomycetes; Helotiales.
UUAAGUUCAGCGGGUAUCCCUACCUGAUCCGAGGUCAACCUUAUAAUAGUUGGGGUUGUUGGCAAGUACAAUCGAGACCCUGUCGCGAGAAAAAUUACUACGCGUAGAGCUUAAGAGCACCGCCACUCAUUUUAAGAGAGGCCAGUUAGGCCAGCUCCAAGUCCACCACGGGGGUGAGUUGGUCAUUAUGACGCUCGAAC